UUCUUUAAUUUAUAUAAGGAAAACAAACGUUAACAACCUACAACCACAAAGCGAUAGAAAAUAAAACUGAUAGAGCACUAAAACAUGAAAGGGUGUCAUUUUAAUGCAAAAGUAAACGGUAGGCAAAUGAGUUCACAUUGACAUGUAAAAUAUGCCAAAAAAACGAAAAAGUAAGGUUGGAGAAAAUUUAAAUAACUUAGAUUGGAAGCUCGAUAUUGAUCCGUGGCACGUUUGUUAGCCGAUGUGAGAAUUGUGCCAUCGUUGGCGUUCACCUCUCCUGUAUAAAUGACAAGCUUUUUGUUCCAGUUGGUUGGAUAUUAUAUCCAUUUGAGCCAAAUCUUGUAA
Molecule: long non-coding RNA, 345 nt
Filed under: Helianthus annuus (common sunflower)
Lineage: Eukaryota; Viridiplantae; Streptophyta; Magnoliopsida; Asterales; Asteraceae
Description: hypothetical non coding rna
Source: RNAcentral